This 389-nucleotide ribosomal RNA is filed under the name uncultured bacterium. RNAcentral describes it as "bacterial SSU rRNA". It matches the Rfam family "Bacterial small subunit ribosomal RNA", at positions 975 to 1368 of the family's 1533-position model. The record is from RNAcentral.
CUACCCUUGACAUGGCAGGAAUCCCGAAGAGAUUUGGGAGUGCUCGCAAGAGAACCUGCACACAGGUGCUGCAUGGCUGUCGUCAGCUCGUGUCGUGAGAUGUUGGGUUAAGUCCCGCAACGAGCGCAACCCUUGUCAUUAGUUGCUACGAAAGGGCACUCUAAUGAGACUGCCGGUGACAAACCGGAGGAAGGUGGGGAUGACGUCAAGUCCUCAUGGCCCUUAUGGGUAGGGCUUCACACGUCAUACAAUGGUACAUACAGAGGGCCGCCAACCCGCGAGGGGGAGCUAAUCCCAGAAAGUGUAUCGUAGUCCGGAUUGUGGUCUGCAACUCGACUACAUGAAGUUGGAAUCGCUAGUAAUCGCGGAUCAGCAUGUCGCGGUGAAUA